This 530-nucleotide ribosomal RNA is filed under the name uncultured bacterium. Its description in RNAcentral is "bacterial SSU rRNA". It matches the Rfam family "Bacterial small subunit ribosomal RNA", at positions 777 to 1304 of the family's 1533-position model. The record is from RNAcentral.
AAUAGAUACCCGGGUAGUCCACGCCGUAAACGAUGAGUGCUAAGUGUUAGAGGGUUUCCGCCCUUUAGUGCUGCAGCUAACGCAUUAAGCACUCCGCCUGGGGAGUACGGUCGCAAGACUGAAACUCAAAGGAAUUGACGGGGGCCCGCACAAGCGGUGGAGCAUGUGGUUUAAUUCGAGGCAACGCGAAGAACCUUACCAGGUCUUGACAUCCUCUGACAACUCUAGAGAUAGAGCGUUCCCCUUCGGGGGACAGAGUGACAGGUGGUGCAUGGUUGUCGUCAGCUCGUGUCGUGAGAUGUUGGGUAAUCCGCAACGAGCGCAACCCUUGAUCUUAGUUGUCCAGCAUUCAGUUGGGUCGACUCUAAGGUGACUGCCGGUGACAAACCGGAGGAAGGUGGGGAUGACGUCAAAUCAUCAUGCCCCUUAUGACCUGGGCUACACACGUGCUACAAUGGAUGGUACAAAGGGCUGCAAGACCGCGAGGUCAAGCCAAUCCCAUAAAAACCAUUCUCAGUUCGGAUUGUAGG